Molecule: ribosomal RNA, 429 nt
Filed under: Bacteroidota bacterium
Lineage: Bacteria; Pseudomonadati; Bacteroidota
Description: Bacteroidetes bacterium partial 16S ribosomal RNA
Rfam family: Bacterial small subunit ribosomal RNA
Source: RNAcentral
UAGGGAAUCUUCCGCAAUGGACGCAAGUCUGACGGAGCAACGCCGCGUGAGUGAAGAAGGAUUUCGGUUCGUAAAACUCUGUUGUUAGAGAAGAACAGCGCAUAGAGUAACUGUUAUGCGUGUGACGGUAUCUAACCAGAAAGCCACGGCUAACUACGUGCCAGCAGCCGCGGUAAUACGUAGGUGGCAAGCGUUGUCCGGAUUUAUUGGGCGUAAAGCGAGCGCAGGCGGUCAAUUAAGUCUGAUGUGAAAGCCCCCGGCUCAACCGGGGAGGGUCAUUGGAAACUGGUUGACUUGAGUGCAGAAGAGGAGAGUGGAAUUCCAGGUGUAGCGGUGAAAUGCGUAGAUAUAUGGAGGAACACCAGGGGCGAAGGCGACUCUCUGGUCUGUAGCUGACGCUGAGGCUCGAAAGCGUGGGUAGCAAACAGG